AGAGUUUGAUCCUGGCUCAGAUUGAACGCUGGCGGCAGGCUUAACACAUGCAAGUCGAGCGGAAACUGCAUAGGCAAUCCCUUCGGGGUGCGCUUAUGGACGUCGAGCGGCGGACGGGUGAGUAAUGCCUGGGAAUCUGCCUGGUAGUGGGGGAUAACUUGCCGAAAGGUAAGCUAAUACCGCGUACGCCCUACGGGGGAAAGCAGGGGAUCUUCGGACCUUGCGCUAUCAGAUGAGCCCAGGCCGGAUUAGCUAGUUGGUAGGGUAAAGGCCUACCAAGGCGACGAUCCGUAGCUGGUCUGAGAGGAUGAUCAGCCACACCGGGACUGAGACACGGCCCGGACUCCUACGGGAGGCAGCAGUGGGGAAUAUUGGACAAUGGGGGGAACCCUGUUCCAGCCAUGCCGCGUGUGUGAAGAAGGUCUUCGGAUUGUAAAGCACUUUAAGUUGGGAGGAAGAGCUCCGGGCUAAUACCCUGCGAGUUUUGACGUUACCAACAGAAUAAGCACCGGCUAACUUCGUGCCAGCAGCCGCGGUAAUACGAAGGGUGCGAGCGUUAAUCGGAAUUACUGGGCGUAAAGCGCGCGUAGGUGGUUUGUUAAGUUGGAAGUGAAAGCCCCGGGCUCAACCUGGGAAUUGCUUUCAAAACUGACGGGCUAGAGUACGGUAGAGGGUAGUGGAAUUUCCUGUGUAGCGGUGAAAUGCGUAGAUAUAGGAAGGAACAUCAGUGGCGAAGGCGACUGCCUGGACUGAUACUGACACUGAGGUGCGAAAGCGUGGGGAGCAAACAGGAUUAGAUACCCUGGUAGUCCACGCCGUAAACGAUGUCAACUAGUUGUUGGGGGUCUUGUGCCCUUAAUAACGCACUUACCGCCUUAAGUUGAACGCCCUGGGGAAGUACGGCCCGAAGGGUUAAAACUCAAAUGAAAUUGACGGGGGGCCGCCACAAGCGGUGGAGCAUGGUGGUUUAAUUCAAAGCAAACCGGAAAA
Molecule: ribosomal RNA, 990 nt
Filed under: uncultured bacterium
Lineage: Bacteria
Description: bacterial SSU rRNA
Rfam family: Bacterial small subunit ribosomal RNA
Source: RNAcentral